Molecule: microRNA precursor, 99 nt
Filed under: Ovis aries (sheep)
Lineage: Eukaryota; Metazoa; Chordata; Mammalia; Artiodactyla; Bovidae
Description: microRNA mir-770
Rfam family: mir-770 microRNA precursor family
Source: RNAcentral
AGGAGCUACCCUUCCCUGCCUCCAGUGCCACGUGUCCAGGCCACGUGAGCAGGGCUUCAUGGGCCCGAGAUGGUGCUGGGGCUUCAGGGCUCUGCUCUC